RNAcentral lists this ribosomal RNA (396 nucleotides) under uncultured bacterium. RNAcentral describes it as "partial 16S ribosomal RNA". It matches the Rfam family "Bacterial small subunit ribosomal RNA", at positions 523 to 918 of the family's 1533-position model. The record is from RNAcentral.
AUACGUAGGGGGCAAGCGUUAUCCGGAUUUACUGGGUGUAAAGGGAGCGUAGACGGCAAAGCAAGUCUGAAGUGAAAGCCCCGGGCUCAACCCGGGAAUUGCUUUGGAAACUGUUUAGCUAGAGUGCAGGAGAGGUAAGCGGAAUUCCUAGUGUAGCGGUGAAAUGCGUAGAUAUUAGGAGGAACACCGGCGGCGAAGGCGGCUUACUGGACUGUAACUGACGUUGAGGCUCGAAAGCGUGGGGAGCAAACAGGAGUAGAUACCCUGGUAGUCCACGCCGUAAACGAUGAUUACUAGGUGUUGGUUGUCAUAGACAAUCGGUGCCGCAGCAAACGCAAUAAGUAAUCCACCUGGGGAGUACGUUCGCAAGAAUGAAACUCAAAUGAAUUGACGGGG